AUGCGACGGACACGCAAAAGGAUGUAACAGUUGAAGGGUACUGGAUGUGUAGUGUGUGCUAUGGCAUUUAGUUUAAACAUUAAAAAUGGACUUUUAAGCACUAAAAAUUCUCUUCAGAUAAAGAUUCCCUUUUCCAUAUGCAUAAAGAGGCCAACAGAGAUCAAAUGCAUACGAGCUUUAACAAAUUCGUCAGUGCAACACAAUGAAAAGUACUGCAUUGAUAUUGUAAGGAAGAGGGACUAUGAGGGAUUCGUGUGCUCAUUGCUUCUUCCUGAUGCUGCUCGCCACUCCGCCUUGGCACUGAGGGCAUUCAAUGUAGAGCUGGCACAGAUUAAGGACUCUGUUUCCCAGAAAACCAUUGGUUUAAUGCGAAUGCAGUUUUGGAAGAGCGCUGUGGAGGAUGUUUACAGAGAUGACCCUCCAGCCCAGCCUGUCAGUGCAGAACUGUGGAGGGCAGUAAGGAAACACACACUAACGAAGAGGUGGAUGUUAAGAAUUAUAUCUGAAAGAGAGAAAGAUUUGGAGGACAGAGCAUACAGGAACUUUCAGGAGCUAGAGGCAUACAGUGAGAACACUCAGUCCUCUCUUCUCUACCUGCUGCUGGAGACGCUUGGUGUGAAAAAUGUCCAUGCAGACCAUGCCGCCAGCCACAUUGGCAAAGCCCAGGGCAUCCUGACCUGCCUCCGUGCCACCCCCUACUACAGCAGCAGACGCAAAGUCUAUCUGCCCAUGGACAUCUGCAUGCUGCAUGGUGCGUCUCAAGAGGACUUCCUCCGUGGCAGCAGGAACCAGAACGUCAGGGAUGUUGUUUAUGACAUCGCCAGCCAAGCCCACGUCCAUCUCCAACACGCUAGAUCGUUUAGCAAGAACGUUCCACAUGCGGCCAUGCCUGCCUUCCUGCAAACGGCCAGAGAAUUGCAUGGAGUAUCAGGAAGCUGCAGAAUUACCUCCUCCACCAGCAUAAUCUCAGAGUCAUCAUUUUGUUUGUGAUAAUCAUGCAGAUUAUCCUUCAACACCCCGGCUGCAGAAGUAUUAUCACGACAUUCCGCUGCUUGUAAGUUACCGUUAAUUUUGUUAUCAGAGUUAGCCAGAGCAUCCAACACUGUUUUCCCCGACUUCUUUGCGCCUUUUCUCUUUUCAGAUCCUCCCAUUGUUGUUGUUAACAAAGUUCAGGACAUCCAGAAGGGUAAUUUCUCAAUAGAUCCUCUCAAGUUUCAUUACAACUACUAUAAAACAAGGUUGGGAUUGCCGAGCUCACAAACACACAUGUGCUCAGGGCACCAUCUUGGACCGCCUCCCCAUUGAGCAUAUUUAUUAUCGUACUUUAGAAUCGGAGACAACAGGAGAUUCAUUAGCUGUACUGCCGAAGAAGCGAAAAAGGUCUGACGCAAGAAGACAGAAAGACCGGCAAAGACAAAAAACUUGAGUAAACAUUGGUACAGCAUACACAAGGUGGAAAGAUUUGAUGACGGAGAAAAAGUAGUGAUGCCGAUGUUGCUUCUUUUUUGUUGGACAGUGGGAUUACAGCACUGUGCACACGCAUUGCGCAAAAAGUUACAAAAAUUGGCAUGUGCACGACCGCGCAAAACAGCGCUUCACCAAGGCUAGGUGAGUAAAAACCAUGUUUUAGUCUAUGAGGUUAUUUUGCUUGUUUUUAUUGACUUCUAGUCAAAAAUUGCAAGUCAGAUCACUGAAAACAUUACAGCACACAUCUCUUCAAAAUGCCGUUCAUAUUGAGGUAUCAUUCCUAUCUGAAACGCAAACGGUGAAGGAUAAGUUACAAGAUAAGCUUAGGGUAAGGUGUUUGUUCAUAUCCCUAACCCUAAGUAUAAGAAGUAGUGACCACUAAUUAAAAUGAGCCUGUUCUAAGUGUUUGUGUCCUUUGCAUCAGGUUGUUCUGGAUGAUUACUUGCACAGAGUGAGGAAAGUAGAUUUCGAUGUGUUCCAUCCCAGCCUACAGAAGAGGAAUCCAAUGCUGCCUGUUCAGCUUUAUUUACGAUCAUGGAAGAAGACCUACUGAUGAUGUCUAAUAUAAACACCAUUUAAUUGUUUCCCUGUCAAACCCCAAGACAAGAGCAAUUCACUCAAAUAAAUUGUCUAGCUGUGUGGACUGUUUUUAUUUUUCCUUUAAUUUUUCAUGGCAGUACACUAGAUGAAACAAAAGGAAAAUAUUUGAUUACUUAACAGAGACUCAGUACAAAGGAUAAACAGCUUGAAAUGAAAAGCGCCACUACCAAAACAUUCAGUUACAUAAAAAUGAAAAUGUGUCUGAACCUUUUAAACUCAACAGCUAAUAAAUGCACUUUUGUAUUCUCUA
Myxocyprinus asiaticus (Chinese sucker) is the source of this 2317-nucleotide RNA transcript. It is a transcript of the gene named NADH dehydrogenase (ubiquinone) complex I, assembly factor 6-like, with no coding region annotated. The record is from RefSeq and is a predicted model, not a curated record. NCBI's taxonomy places the organism in Eukaryota, Metazoa, Chordata, Actinopteri, Cypriniformes, Catostomidae. The transcript is spliced from 10 exons.